Molecule: long non-coding RNA, 554 nt
Organism: Drosophila miranda
Lineage: Eukaryota; Metazoa; Arthropoda; Insecta; Diptera; Drosophilidae
Exons: 2
Source: RefSeq, a predicted model, not a curated record
GUAUCGGGUAUAAAAAUCACAAUUAUAAAGGGAGUCAGGGCGAGGCAUACACUGUCAAAAAAAACAAUAUACGAGAAUAAAUAAUUAAACCCAUUUUCAUAUACGUUUCUCCCGAUAUUAUUCUCUAAAUUGAAAGAAAACAACAGGCAUAUAUUUUCAUUAGCUUUGAACUGAAAACCUUUUAAGAUAAGCCGAAGUUGACUUUUUCGUUCAUCGCCUAUAAUCGUACAGCAAAGAAAAACAUAAACAACAUUUUCUUACCUUCUUCCUGGUUCUUCCACUUUUGCUGCAUUCUCUCUUACUGUUCUUUCCUUGCCGUUUCCAUUCUGUCGUUAUAUUCACACACAAACACACACAAAAGCACUAUUAAAAAAAAAAAAAACAGAAACACAAAUGAAUUUUAUAAUUUAUUCAUAUUUUUCUUUCCGCGAUCGGCUCUUUUUGUGCGCGAAUAAUCCACUAAUUUUUCCCGCAAGACGCACUUAGCACCAAAGACGCUCAGCUACAACGGUACAACAAAUGAAACGAGAAGGCAGCAAUUUUUGGUCGAAUAA